CCUGCUCAAUAGAACGACCCGCGAACGAGUUAUCAAUAACGCCGGGAGGGGACGAGGAUGCCUUAGUGCCCCGAGCCCCCUCCCAAAGCCCGAGUGUGCGCGUGCCCGUUGAUNUGCCUUACCUUAGGGUCGGGCAAGGUCNCGGAUGCCGUCGCUCGUGGCCUAACAACGAACCCCCGGCGCGAAUCGCGCCAAGGAACCAUGAAUGAAAAGGGCACCGCUGUGUCUCCUUUUCUUGCGAAACAUCUAAAACGACUCUCGGCAACGGAUAUCUCGGCUCUCGCAUCGAUGAAGAACGUAGCGAAAUGCGAUACUUGGUGUGAAUUGCAGAAUCCCGUGAACCAUCGAGUCUUUGAACGCAAGUUGCGCCCCAAGCCCGUUAAACGGCCGAGGGCACGUCUGCCUGGGUGUCACGCAUUGUCGUCCCCUCCAAUGACCCAUCGGGUCGUGGGGACGGAGAUUGGCCUCCCGUGCGCUCCUNGCUCGCGGUUGGCCNAAAACUGAGUCCGCGGCGAUGAUGGCGCCACGACAAUCGGUGGUAAUGCCUGCGAGCGUGCCUCGUCUCUGGUCGUGUGCGCCUUUCGCCCGUCGGGACCCUCGGACCCUCCAUGCGUCGCUCGAACGAUGCUCGCAUCGCGACC
Molecule: ribosomal RNA, 641 nt
Filed under: Septotheca tessmannii
Lineage: Eukaryota; Viridiplantae; Streptophyta; Magnoliopsida; Malvales; Malvaceae
Description: eukaryotic LSU rRNA
Rfam family: 5.8S ribosomal RNA (bases 254-413)
Source: RNAcentral